RNAcentral lists this non-coding RNA (88 nucleotides) under Cedecea sp. NFIX57. The record is from RNAcentral. Lineage: Bacteria; Pseudomonadati; Pseudomonadota; Gammaproteobacteria; Enterobacterales; Enterobacteriaceae.
GAUUAUGGCGGGACGUGGCGGGGAGGCCACCGCGCCUGCUGGUUUCAUGUACGCCAGUCUGUCAACCCCGUCACGUCCUGCCACCCCG